UUCUCUCUCCAGGGCACAUCUUCCGGCCCGCUCGCCCUCUGCUAGAAAUAGGAAAAUGCUAUAAUAACACAACACAAGAAAAAAAAAACACAGAGGCAACUUUGAUCACGCAUGCUCCCUUGGCGUCCAGCUCUUUUUUCCCCCACCACAUCAUUUCUCCUAAGUUGGAAAGUCAAGGAAAAGCCCGAGCGAAGUGUUGGCCACAGUUAAACCAAUCAUUCGGGGAAAGCCAUCUCAUAUUUAAAAUGCCUGUGGUAUCAAGGUGAAGGGAUCGGCUGGCAGAGAUGUAAGUGUGUGACGCGUUUCUGCAUGAAGAGAGACUGGAAGAGAAGAGGAGGAAGUGAUCGACAGACAGAGCUCAGUCCAGCUGGACACAACAAGAUAGCCUUUAAGAACGCCUUUGACUGAAGAAGAACAUAUCGAACUCGUUCUCAUGGCUCAAGCUGGAAGCAGUCGCCAGGUCGCGGUAGACUUGAACAGGAAACAUGGCGAGCACAUCACAGCACACACGACACCGUCGGCAAACGGAGUCAACGUUGCGAGAGACGACUCCUCGUGUGUUUCGAAAGUGUUCGUUUCCCCUGUGUGUGGAGACUUUGGGACACCCUUUAGUACAGUUAGUCUCGAGAUAUAGUUGUUUCAAGCUGUGAGUACAAAGUUAAAAUAAACAAAUAAAUAAAUAAAUGAAUAAAUAACAAAAUUUUAAACCCACUAAGAAAUCCUGAACCGCUAAGAUUUAGUUGAACAUAAUUGAUGUAUAACGUAUAAGCGCGUAUGUUUGUUGUAGGUUUACAACUCAUCAGUUUUGUGGGUCGGAAACACUCUUCAGCUUUUUCAGCAGCAGUACAAUACGGGAUGUGCUAUUAUAGGAAAAUAAUCAAUGACAGGACACGCUAUUAUAGGAAAAUAAUCAAUUACGGGGCAUGCUAGUAUACUGUAGGAAAAUAGUCAAUGACAGGGUGGUGUAUUGUGGCACGAUGUGAAGUGGAGUUACUAUUACCACCCCAAAGUUCCAGUAACAGCAUGCCCAAGUGUUUUUAUUCCUCUUACACCACAACAAUGACAUUUUUUAAAUAUUAAUUAAAGAACAAUAUGUCGUACUCUCUAUCCAUUUAUGGUCGCAUUUAAUAUUAUUGAAUGUCCGUGAAAGAAAUUAAUUCUUGUCAUCAGUAACAUUGUUUCAGGUAUAACAAGUCAUCCCCUCACAAGCCUCUGUUUUUUUAUUUAUUUUUAUUUUCUUCUCUUGAAUUUAAUAAGCAAAAAGUGCUGACAGGAGACCCCUUCCAGAAUGUAAAUUAAACAUCUCCUUCCAGUCACCAUAUCGACAUCUACACACGCUUUAAAAAAAUAAAUAAAAAUAAAUCAGUUAAUAAUGUAUUAGAACUAGUGUAUUAAUAUAAACCUUGCACCCGGAACCACUAAAGAAAAUGAACUGACACCUUCUGACCAAUCAGAAUCGAGCAUUCAGCGGUGUCGUUUUAUAAAGCUGGAAUAACGUCUUCUAUGUUCGUGACCCGUUGUAUUGUAUGUAAGGCUGUUUUGAAUGCGCAGCAUACGGUUAAUAACGGUGACAUUAACUUACUGUCAUAACGUGAGCUUGAAGUGAACGUUCGUAGUAGUUCUGAGUGAUUGACAGGUGUUGUUUGCUUUACAUUACGUUUCGCCGUUUGUUAUUCAAAUGAAUUCAGCCAGACUAUUUCAGAUGCAGGUUAUAUAUCGACUCAGCUAUUAAAAACGAAAUAUAAUAUUUUCUACUGUGCUGCCCAGUAAAACGCUAUUAAUAUCGACUCUAUUGCGUCGAUUAUAUUAAAAUGUUUAUUUUCUCGUCACGGGAAGUUACGUAUU
This is a long non-coding RNA of Ictalurus punctatus (channel catfish), 1845 nucleotides long. RefSeq lists it as uncharacterized. The record is from RefSeq and is a predicted model, not a curated record. The transcript is spliced from 4 exons. Lineage: Eukaryota; Metazoa; Chordata; Actinopteri; Siluriformes; Ictaluridae.